Molecule: ribosomal RNA, 469 nt
Filed under: uncultured bacterium
Lineage: Bacteria
Description: bacterial SSU rRNA
Rfam family: Bacterial small subunit ribosomal RNA
Source: RNAcentral
GACGAACGCUGGCGGCGCGCCUAACACAUGCAAGUCGAACGGAGAAUGCAGGACUGAAGCCUUCGGGCAGAUGGCUUGUAUUCUUAGUGGCGGACGGGUGAGUAACACGUGAGCAACCUGCCUUCAAGAGGGGGAUAGCACCUGGAAACGGGUGGUAAUACCGCAUAAGACCACAGCAUCGCAUGGUGCAGAGGUCAAAGGAGCAAUCCGCUUGAAGAUGGGCUCGCGUCCGAUUAGAUAGUUGGUGAGGUAACGGCUCACCAAGUCGACGAUCGGUAGCCGGACUGAGAGGUUGAACGGCCACAUUGGGACUGAGACACGGCCCAGACUCCUACGGGAGGCAGCAGUGGGGGAUAUUGCACAAUGGGCGAAAGCCUGAUGCAGCGACGCCGCGUGAGGGAAGACGGCCUUCGGGUUGUAAACCUCUGUCAUUCGGGACGAAUUAGAUGACGGUACCGAAGAAGGAAGU